CUGAACGAAGAGGUUCCGCCGUACGGAGUGCCCCAAUGCGUUGGCCGGAUUUUUUCUUUUUUCUUUUUUUUUUUUUUUGAUAAAUAAGAGAAGGGACGACGGGAAGCGACCAUCCAAAAGGUGGAUCCACCACCAACUUUAUCUCUCGACCACAACUAACCCCAUCCACUCCCCUCUCUUCCGUUCUCGCUUUGGUUUUGGUCCUGCUAGACGCAAAGUCUGAUCCGCCAUGACUGCUUCUUUACCCGCCAAUUUCUCUCACAAACCCUGGGAUCCUUCCCCCGAUUCCCCUCCGAUAAUUUCUCUCACGCCUGAUCAGCUCAAUCACUGUGCUGAAGCGCUGGCCAGCUUUAGGCAGAGAACGCCGGAGAUGAUCGAUCAAGAGUUCGAUCAAUUGGAGGCCAAUGUGAUAACAAUAAGUGAGCUGAGGAGAAGAUGCACUGUUGCUCUGAAUGAAGCAAAUCUGGACAAAAAUCGGUAUCCGGAAAAUGUCCUGCCAUUUGAUGAGAACAGGGUUGUUCUGGAAUCAAGUACAGAUCCUAGACCCACGGCCAUGGGAUAUAUCAAUGCAAGCUUUCUCUCGCCCUCCUCCUCUGAAAGUGUUUCUCAGUUUAUAGCUACACAAGGUCCACUGCCACAUACUUGUGAGGAUUUCUGGGAAAUGGUAAUCCAAUACCGCUGCCCCGUCAUUGUAAAUCUCACUGCGCUUGUUGAACACAACAAGAUUGUUAAAUGUAGCGAUUAUUUUCAAGCCGAGGAUGGACCUAGAAAGUUUGGUAAUAUCACUAUUGUUUGUGAAUGGAUGAAAACUACUGAGAAAUCAUUGGUACUUCGCCAUUUGAAGGUGCAUAGAAAGGAAGAUCUGCCCUUAUCUGUUUUGCACAUUCAUUAUCUUGAGUGGCCUGACUAUGGAGUUCCCAACGAAACACAUGCUGUGCGUGCAAUUUUUAAGAGAUUGUACCGUUUACCACCGGAACUUGGCCCCAUAGUGGUGCACUGCAGGUAUCGGCAGAACAGGAGCAUACUGUGCAGUUCAUAAUACAAUUCAGAGAAUUCUUGCUGGAGAUAAGUCUGCCUUGGAUCUUCGUAAUACCAUAUGUGUCUUCAGGUCACAGCGAUAUGGAAUGGCUCAGAAACAGACCCAGUACAAUUUCUGCUAUGAAGCUAUUGUAGAGGCACUGGACGAGCUUCUUUCUAAUCAUCAGCAGUAAUGAGGGUAUGCCACUUCUGUCCACUUUCUGUUCUUGCGAAGAUUCUGCAGCCUGCACUGUUCUGGUUUUGAAAUCCUUGUGUACAACGAAUCUCUCUUGUCCACUUUCCUUCAUCCAUUAGUUGUGUAGCAUCUUUGUUCAUUCAAACGUCAAACCGUUCUGGUGGUAGCAUGAUAAAUUGCAGUCACAUUUAAUGUGAACAUCUCAACCAUCAUGCCGCUGAUUUGAAUUGGGAGAGCUUGUGAAUUUAAACUAAUGUUGCAUUGGGAUUAAUAACGGUUUAUUUUUAGAUUUGGGCCACGUCCUCUAUUUGGAUGCAUGAAAACAUGUAGAUUUGAUUCAAAUCUAAAUUCAUUUUUAUUAGAAUUCAUUUAUAAUUUCAAA
This is an RNA transcript of Prosopis cineraria, 1595 nucleotides long. It is a transcript of the gene named protein-tyrosine-phosphatase PTP1-like, with no coding region annotated. The transcript is spliced from 8 exons. The record is from RefSeq and is a predicted model, not a curated record. Lineage: Eukaryota; Viridiplantae; Streptophyta; Magnoliopsida; Fabales; Fabaceae.